This 12014-nucleotide long non-coding RNA is filed under the name Marmota monax (woodchuck). Lineage: Eukaryota; Metazoa; Chordata; Mammalia; Rodentia; Sciuridae. The record is from RNAcentral.
CACAGGCAGAGGAGAGCAACCACUUCUUCUAAAUGAAUGUGGCCAAAAAAUAUUUGCUUGCAAAAAUUAAUGUAAAGAGAAAGCAGCAAUGGCUUCUUUAAAUUCAUUUAAAAAAUUUUUAUUUUUAUCACCUGGAGAAAAAUUCCAGAAGUGGUUAAGUCAUUCAUUGUUCCUAGAAUUUAGAAUUGCAACAUGAACUACAAUCGGAAUAUCUAGCUAUUGGUCUCAUUUCUAGGCUAUUCCUGGGUAGUAGCAUUCAUGCCGAUACUAUUCAUGCCAAGAAUAUCUAAAUAAUUCUUAGGAUUUUCUUUGUGUGUAUGUGGUACUGGGCGCUGAACCCAGAGACUCAUACAUGCUAGGCAAGCACUCCACCACUAAGCUAUCCCCAGUCCUUCUCAUUUUAUUUUUGAAAUGGGGACUCACUAAUUUGCCCAGAUUGGGCUUGAACUAGCUAUUCUGUCUCAGCCUCCCAAGUCACUGAGAUUGCAGGUGUGUACCACCAAAUCCAGUUAGAUAUUUUCUUUUUUAGCACUGCAAGCAGAACUAUAAUAGUAGACUGUGAUACUGGAAGGAAGAAAGGGAGUGAUUUAUUCCAUAUUUAGUAGUUUAGUAGUGACUUGGUUUUAUUCAGUAUUGUCUGAGUUUAAUUUAACACAAUGGUUAAUUAACAGUGUAUCAUUUAAUAUAAAUGAUUUUUAAGUGAACAAAGUCAUUCAUACCAGUCAGGUUGCUAUUGUUAUAUCUCCCAUUAUAGCCUCUUACAGGGGUUUUCAAACUUAGGUUCUGUGCUUCAGAGUGGUUGAAAUUACAGGGGAAGCUGUGCUUUCCCAGAAAAUACUCUACUGGUUUUAUUUCUGAUUACAAACAUCAAUGAAGAAUGGUGAGAAAUAUUCUGAUAUAGUGAGUCUCAGAUGACAGCCCAUUUUAUAUUGUCUAAUGUAUGUGAAUAGAUACAAUGUGUUCUCGUUAGAGUGGGAACAUAAUUAAUGUAUGUAUGAAAAGUUGAAGUUACUUGUCCAGAAGGAAAUUUAUCCAAAAAAAAAAAAUAACAAUUAUAAUAUUAUAACUUCACAGGUGCCAUACAUUGGUCUUGUGGAGAGGUCAGCACACUACAACCCUUGGGCCAAAUUCAGCCCACUGCUGGUUUUUGCAAACAAUAUUUUAUUGGAACAUAACCAUGCCCCUUUGUUCCCAUAGUGUCUAUACCUACUUGUCCUUUUGAGUGGUUUAGUGACAUACCAUCUCUCUUGUAAAUCCUAACCUGUGCAUGUUUUGGUGCCUCAUAGAAAAACUUUACCAAAAUCUGCUCUACUGUUUUAUGUGUCUCAACAAUUCGAAGGGAUGUUCUUUGUCCCCUCUUAGGAAAUUGAAGCACAGAGAGUUUAUUCAAUCUGCUCAAAAUCACACAGCACAUGCAUGGAAGAGCUGGGCUUCCCCUCUCUCAAUUGUCCUCCAGAGUUUGUGCCUCUUACUGCUCUGCUAUAUGGGUUGACGGCGAUUUAUUCCAUCAUUUAGGUUUUCAUCUUCUUGCUUGCUUUAAUUCCUAGUCUAGGUCUCUGACAAUACUUGUGCUUCCUUGUUUGGUUUAUAAAUAGAAUAGGGAGUUAAGAAGUGAGGAGGUCUAGACCAGGUGCAUCAAGUCCUAGCUUUGCUUAUAGGAUAAGGAACCAGUUAUGUGGGGAUAGGAUCACAGUUGAGGAUAAGUUGAAGUAGACUUUAUUUAUUGAUUCCUCCUAUAAAGACUGAAGCAAAAAAUAGGGCCCACUUCUUAUAUGAAGAGGCCAUGGUGUGGUGGAAAAAACAUGAGUAUAUUUGGGAGGAAGCUGUUCCAGAGGUUGCUGAGGGAGUAGUAAGAGCAUAAGAGGGUUACCCUAAAUCACAUAGGGGAGGGAAGAGGAUGAGACUCAGGGGUAUUCUUGGAAAAGAGAAUCCCUGAUAAGUAUUGGUUAGGAAAAAUAUUUAGGAGGGUCUUCAGAAUCAGAGUUUUGUGAAAAAGAGCAUACUGUGUAUUUUAGUGUAAUGUCUCUAAGGCUCUGAGAAGUUGGGGAGGAGACAAGGAAAGGGUUUAUAAAUGUCUUUGAAAAUCACGUUAUCAUGGUCAGUAGGUUCUAUUGCUCCUAUGUGUUGUGGGAAAGUAUGUGAGUGUAUCUAGUAUGUGUAAAUUGCUUUCAGAUUUCCAUUUUAGACCAUACAUUUUGAGGCCAAUGUAGCCGUUAUUCCUAUCAAAAUGCAGCAUUUGGAGCCCAGGUAUUAGAGUUGCCACGGGAUGCUCAUUUAAAUUGCAGAUCAUUUGGCCUCUGGCCACACCCUGCAUUAGACUCUUUGUGGAAUGAUGCCUACAAUCUGCAUUUAAAUGAAUGUCCCAGGUAAUUCUUGUAUACUCCACAAUUCCAGAACCAUCGAAGGAUGACUUUUAAAAAGAAACAGGAGAAAAAUUAAUCCAGACUAGGGUCUGAAGAGUGGUGCCUGGGCUGUGGAGGAGGGGCCAAUGGAAUUUAAAAGUGUUUUGAAAAUAAAGAUAGACAAGAGUUGGUGAUUAAUGAGAUGUGAGCUCUGGGUAGCAAAGGAAAAGGAAAUGUUCUUCUUUAUUAAAAACAUUCUGACUUAAGUUACUGGCAUGAGAUAGGGAAUUUUUUUCUCCUACCCCAAAGUACCUCUUCCUGCCUUAUCUCCUAGGUCAAUUCACAUAGUUGCUCAUUAACUUCCUUAGUGUUCAUUCUGGAAAUGAAACAUGACAGUUAGGUUGGAAAUGAGUCCCAGUUUACUUCCCUAGAAAUUCAAAACUAUGUACAGAAUAGUUGGUUGGAAUGUAUAAUUAUAUAAACUUGCAAUAAAGAGCCUGACACAUAAGAUAUGUAUAUUUUUGAAAUUGACUUGCCAAAUUUGAUGUGGAGCCUGGCAAGAAGGGAAAUUUAGCUCAAUUAAGGAGUCUGUCUGUGGGAGGAUUGGCCACCAGAGAGCUUAUGAUGAUCUGUUUAUAAACCAACAACAUAACGUUUCUCUUUUUUUUUCUAUGAGAAAAUUCGAUUUUGUUGAUUGUCUUUAUCAUCCCACACUUGUGUUGAUGAAGCCCUCCAAAUGGAAUCCUCAGACUUCACAAUAUCCCAAGCUCAUCUGUCAUAGAAAAUCCAAAAGUGGGAUAAGAGGUUCCUUCUAUAUAUUUGGAGGAUACCCAUUCAAAGAUACAGUUUGCUUUGGUUAUUCUCAGCAGCCCAGGAGAAGAGCACAAGGCCCUGUUGUGAUUCUAGCAAAGCCCGGAACAGCAGGAAUAUUGAAAAGAACAUGACAAAGGGAGGCAUCAGAAGAGGGUUCUGCCUCUGGUUCACUAUGUGACCUCAGCCCAGUAAGUGCCUGGGUGAUAAUAUUGAAUGAAACAUGAAUUUAGUCCUCUGGGAGCUUAUUCUUCUCCAGCAAAAAAAAAAAAAAUGCAGUCAGGGGACUUAGAAAGUUUGGCUUUAAAAAGGAAGUACUGCUGGAAAAGAAUCUUGAAGAAAAAGUUAGAUUUUCAAGUGUAGGAGGAGGUGGAGAGUCUGGUCCCGGCAGAAGCAUGACCAGAAGACAGAGAACAGUUUAUGUUGGACGCAUUCAAGGGUGUGUAGGAGGAAAUGAGGGGGUGCAGAGGAGUAGGAAGAAGAUCCUAGAGAGAUGUACAGGUUGUUAUUUGAAGAAUGCAUUUCAUUCUAGAGAAUGAAAUGAAGUAGAAGGCAAAGAAAUGAUUUGGGAGACAAGGGAUGUGGUAGAGAUAGGAAAGGCGCCUGAACUAGGAUUGUGGUCAUUAAAAUGUCCAGAAAGAGAAGCAGGACAAGAAGCAGUGGGGAUUUCUGGGAGAGGCUGUUGUUGAUGACAAUGUCCAUCCCAAUCCCUAUACUGUUGUUAUGUUUAUUUCUGAAUUUAGUUUUGAAAACUAAUUAUGUCUGUGUUGCUUCUCCCUGCAACCUAUUUUUUUUUCUUCUCUACAAUCAGAAUAACAAAAUUUCUGGUUGUGAAGGAUACAACUAAAGAGCUUACACUAUGUCUGACAUAGGCAGACAAGUUAGCUUACAAAUGUCAGUUUCCUGACAUCCCACCUCCAACCUAUUUACCCUGUCAGGAGAGAAGUUUUUAACAAGAAAUAUCAAAAUAAUCAUCCUAGCAAUAUCCUAGUCAACCAUCUUGGCUGAAUUGUUCUAGUCCAGAAUGGUGGUCAAAUUACCAACUAGAGAGUGUUAGACCCAUGCUUCCCAUGUCCUGCAAUGCACAUCUCAGUCUAGUGAGUAAGGACCUCACUCUUUACUGAACUGGGACUUGUGAAAGCUGGUCUAGAAUGUUUGACCAAAGGAAAUCAGGCUAUCUCCAUCUGCAACAGCUUCACUCCACAUUGAUAAUCUGAUUUGUUCUGUUGCAGAUGACAUAUUGAGUUGAAAGGGGCAUGGAUUGGUAAAAGCAGGCUUUUAUUUAUGACUGGCAGAACAGUGCAAAGGGGUGUCCUGAUAGGAAGGGUCAUCAGUUUAGAAAGCCAUGUUUACAUCUGAUGGUUUUGCCGUGAUAUCUGAGAGCCUUUCAGGGAUUUUUUUUUUUUCAGGCAAAAGCUAUAGUUCCAGUGAGGAAAGCAUUGGUUUUCAAUGCCCCAAUAUUCUCUUUCUUAACAGUUAGUGUGUAAGUCAUUGCCCAAGCCCACUGCAGGCUCCAGAUGUGGAUUCCAUGUAGGCAGAAACUGCAAUUCUUCCACUGAAUUCCUUCUUAAUACUCUUGGGGCAUCCUCCUUUUUAGAAAUCUUUGCAGAAUAUGUAGUCAAACCAGAGAAAUCUGAAUUCAUUUUUGGUAAAGAGGACAUUGGAAAAUCAUCAUCCCCAUGACUCAAUAGAAUGGCUUUUAUCUUUCUUUCUUUCUUUUUAACUUUAUUUGGAACUCCCAAACAGAAAUAAAAUAAGAAGCUUCUACCUUCAUUUUAAACUCUUAGGUAAAGAAAAAAGUCAUUAUGCCCUGCUAGAGGGAGAGCAGAAAUAGGAAUGUUAGAGGAUGGAAACUGAAUCACCUUAUAAAUUUUGAGUGGAUUGUAAACACAAAAUAGAUGAAUGGAAAGGGACUGCCAGGAGACUGUGAAAUGGUCCAAUUGGGAAAUGACUAAUGCAUGAACACAAAUCUUGGUGACAGGCAGGUUAGCGAUCUGUGAACUUUCUAAAGGUUAAAUGAACAAUAAUAGGAUUUUGUUAAUGCACAAAGUGAAUUGAAAGCACAAAAUACAUGACUCAAAUAUGCAAGUACCUUGAAUUGGGCAUAAUUCAAAAUAAUGAGGUCUGUUAAAAUAAUGACAUUUAGAGUAAAAGAGCAGUUAGUGAGAAUUUGCCUAAAAAGCCCCUGAGAGUUGCCCAAUGAUCUCAUUGUUAGCAGGAGAGAAAAUUCUUUUACUAUAAUAAAUUAGGCAUUUUUGAAAUGGGUUCCAGGUCAACUGCAAUUUCCUUAGGAUUCCCUGGCAACAAAAAGCCUCAGCCCUCUCCCAACACAGCAGCUUCAGUUCAAAUAAAGGUGUUCACCAGGCUUUAAGUCCACUAUCGCACUAUGUCCCUUAAAUGUUCGACAUAUUCCAUUCUUGGUUAUUCAAAAACUGGUUCUGUUUUAACUCCUAUUAAAAUUUUAGUUGAUUUUCACUGUGAUAGCACAUCUAACAGGUUCAUAAGAGAAAAAGUUAUGAACUUUUUUUUUGAAUUACAAAUAUAAUUUACAUUCCAUUUUCUAAAUGCAAAAGGCUUUGUGGGAAAAAGGCUGAGAUUAUGAGUAGACAUGAUACUGCCUCCGGAUGUCCCAGCUAGAGUCUCCUUGACUGCUGUCACCACUGGUGACCUCUCUUGAUUCUGAGGUGUGGGAAGAAUUUCAUCCCCAUUUUAAUGAAAGCAGCAAAUAAUUUACCUUUGCUUGAAUGAAUCUUGCAAACCCCAUGAGAUUAGUCAUUUUUCUUAAACCUUGUUGUAUGUAGUAAGAGAUGCCAUCAUCUAUACACAUUUUUUCCUGGUUUAAUAUAUUUGAACAACUCUUACAGAAUUUUUCAAACAUGUACAAAAAAAGAAUAAUAUAACCAAGUCUAAUGUAUCCAUGCCCCAAAUUCAAGAGUGACCAACUCAUAAACUAUAUUCUUUCACAUUUAUACUUACCUACUUUCUUCCCUCCCUAUCACUCUCCAUUAUUUUGAAGAGAAUAACAUCCUGCAAUAUCAUCACAGUAUUAUGAGUAUCUGCUUUGUGAGAACAAGAUUCUCCAAAGCACAAUCCCCUAAACUCAGUACUUCACAGUUAUUGUAAAAAUAAUAGAUUCUGAUUGUCAAAUACUUUGGGAAGAUGAUAUCAUCACUGCAUUUUGAAGAAUUGUUUUAUUCAUGAGCACAAGAAUGGUUCUGAGAAGUUUGCAAAUAGAAACUUACUUAAACCAGUAUCUUUCAAAUUGUAUCUAGAACUGUUUAUUUAUAGGAGAUUUUAUUUACAUCCUAUGGAAGAAAUAUUAAAGGACAUUAUUUAUAACAUUGAUCAAGUACUCACUAUGUGCAAGGUCUUCUGUUAAAUAUUUUCAUAUGGAUUUAAUUCUUAUAAUAAUCCUGUGAGAUGGGAUUUAUAUAUGAAUAUGUCACCCCAUUUUCAAAAGAGGGAAUUGAAGUUCAGAAAUAUAUGAUAACUUGGCAAGGUCACACAGUAGGAUUUACUCUAGGUCCAGGUGACCUGUAAACCAGAGUUCUUGACCACCACAAUAUGCAUUUAAAAGGGAUCUUAACAAUAGCUCAAGACUUGUGCAUCCUUUGCUGGUUCUAAUAUAGUCCUAAUUUCUUACAGUAAUGAGGGGAACAAAAGUAUAACAAACACAUUUGGUCAAAGUCAGUAGGCAAAGGAUUUCAUUUAAUCAUAUGUUUUUGUUUCCAUUGUGUGUUAUAUUUUUUGGAUUAUUCUUACCUCUAUUGUCUUAGAUAAAAUUUCCAAUGCCUUUGGAGAGGGGAGUAUGAAUAUUUCUUGUUCAGCAGUUAAGGCACAGAAAAUGUCUCACCCAAAGUUAAAAGUUUAUUACAGAACUGGAAUUAGAACUUAGAUAUUUAUGUCUAGGGAAAAUUUCUUUUUUUUCUUCUUUCUCUUCCUCUCUCUCUUUUCAUAGUACUGGGGAUUGAAUACAAGGACUAAGCUACAUCCUUAGCUGUUUUUGUUUUUUUGUGACAGGGUCUCAAUAAGUUGUUGAGGCUGGCUUUGAACUUGCAAUCUUUCUGCUUCAGCUUCCAACUCAGGAGAUUUCCUGAGUUGCUGGGAUUGUAGGUGUGUACCAUCACACCUGCCAGGGCAAUUUUCUUUUGACUACACAAUUAUAUUUCAUUGACAAAUAGGAUCUGCCCCUACUCUUGAUCUGCUCUCUUUGAUAUAAACUAGGGAUGUGGUGGAUCCUGUCUAACACAGAAUUACUUGACAAUGGUGAAUGCAUUGGUGGUAAUACUCUUCUCAAAAUAUUUUAGACAGGGUCUGGUGCUUUUGUUAGCAUCUACAUUAUAUUUUUCAUAUUUUAGGGUAGGAAGGGAGAAAUUGAAAGAUUUAGUUUUCUGAGGACAACCUAUGGACUAUCUUCACAUCCUUUUUACUCCUCUAGACCAUGGAAAAUGCACCCUGUUUUCAAAGCUCUGAUCUGAGUCCCAUCAGUGGUGGAAGAGCCUCUGUGGAACCACUGAAUGUUUCCUUUAUGGAGGUAUCUAUCCAUAGCUGAGAAUAGGGCAAAAUAGAAAAUGGCAAGGAUAGCUAUUUGCUAUCUUUCUCAAUUUUCCUAUCAAGGUCAAAGAACUGCUUCUAGAUGGCAUUGUAGGUAUAUUAUCCUCUGAGUACCAAAUCAUGCAAAAAAUUACAAAUAAUUAUACCAUCAUUUUCAAAUGUAUUAUGGGAAGUAGGACAGUUGUAUAAUAGCUACAGAAAAUUAAGCACUGGCAUUAUUAGAGCUUUUUCAAAUAAACUAAACACUUCUGAUUAACUAGGCAUUUAUUCUGGCUGAGACAGACUUGUGUAGAGAUAGGGAACACUUAGAUGUAAGACUGCUAAUAAUGAACAUUGUCACUUCAUUAAAGUAGGUCAAGGUAAGCAAAUGUGAUAGGUUUUUUCCACAUGCUAUAAUUACCAAGGGUAAUUCAGUAAAUUUUUGUCCUGUAUAUAUCUGGACCAUAAAAUUAUGUAAUAAACAAUCAUUCAUUGCAGGUGAUUAAAGAGAAAUGCCUCUGGAGAGAUUAAAAGAGGUACCGUGAUUCUACUGUUUAUUAUAUCCACUCUCAUAAUUAAGGAAAGUAUAAACUUAAAACUUACUAUUAAACAUGUGGAGGCCAUGGUAAAGUGAAGGGUGCAUUGAUGCUGGAAUCAAAUAAUUAGGGUUAGGGAAUCACUUCUUACCUUUGACAGUGGGUUCUUAGGAAAAUAUUUUGUCUCUUUGAGCUGUAGUUUGCUUAUUUGAAAAUGAGGAUAAUAGUAAAUAUUUAUUUUUUUUGGUGGGGUGAACAAAUUAUAUAUGGACUUGAAAAGUCCUAAUUUUAUUAAUAAUAGUGAUUUAAAAAACAAGGGCAAUAAAGGCAGAGUAGAAAGGCAUCAACCAAAGGCAAGAAUUCUUAUAGAGUUGUCAUCUCUGGAUGUGCAAACACGAGAUCUGCUCCUCUAAGACAGGACUGCCUCGGGCAGCCCUGUGACUUUACCAGGGAGAAGAAGAUCAGUCAGUCCAAGAGAUAGGAACCAGAGAAAGGCAGAAGAGCCAGUUACACACUAGAUGUCACCCCAAGAGAUGCAGUAAGUACUGACUUUGACAUCUGUGCCACCAACAGGAAAGAAAGGCGAAAUUCUCUCUGCCUUGGCUACCUGGUUUCUUAUUUCAAGUAUGCAUACUGGUAGUCAAUGGUCUUUGUAUUGUGAAAAAAUAAAUCUUGUUUGAACUGAUUGGGUUUAAAUUAGGUUGCAAUAAUCCAGAGUCAAAAACCACUUAUUUCAUGCUCCCCCAGGAAUCCUACUAACACCAAAUUUUGAAACCAAUGAAAGUUUUAAGCACUCACUUGCCAUGGGAAGUCAGUAAUCAUAUUCAUGGUUCCCUCCUGGAGGUACUGAGGCUCAGAGGCCUUCCCCAAAGACUUCCCAAAUGGCACAGAUGGUUAAGGAUGGAGUAGAGAUGACUUCAUCUCUCAGGGCUUUCCCACCUACUUCUUCUCCUGAAAGUUAAUCGGGUGUUUAGUAAAAUAUUCCAAGUAUGGCUGUUGCUCUAUAAUAAUAAUAUUACUAAGGAAAAAGGAGGCAGAAGUAGCAAGGGUAAGUGGAUAUAUCUGCAAUAUGUUGUGGGUAACUUUCAGAGGGAUUUUGGAGAUGUGGUUGAAAAAGAGACAGAGAAAGGCUGCAGUAAUUACUUCCUAUAUAGGAAGAUAGGGUAUAUAAUUUUUCCAAAUUAAAGAGAAUGCCUGCCUAGAGGUCCCAGGGGACACUGGAGAAGAGCAGGAGAAGGAUGCAGCUAAUAACUUGGUGGGGAGGUGAAAAAGUGAGUUAAAACAAAAAAGUCAGUUAAAGGUGAGUGAACGGACAAUGUGAGGAAUUUCCAUCAUAAGUUAGGUUAGAAGGGAGUAAGUGGAGGGUUUCCUGAACUUAGAAUAAGCUCUGGCAGUUCUGUCUCUGGAAACUACCCUUCCCUCCAGUUUAUCUGAGUAUUGUUAGCAUGAUAUGUGUCCUUCCAUAUAACUUCUUAUUUCCACAUGGGAGAGAAAAAUUAAAAAGAUGCAAAAUAUUGGAUAAAACCAAAGAAACUCAAAGUCUUUGAGACUUUUCAGCAGAAUCACAGACAACUAAAGCUACCUUCUUUGUGUUGAAUCUUAGUGUAGAAGAAUCUAGAUUGAAGGUUUGGGGUUAGAGUCUGGGGAAGGUCAAAAAAAGGUGCUAAAAGAAGCAUAUCUAGGAGAAUGUGUUUCUAGGAAAACAACCCUGUGCAGAAUCCCAGACGCAAGACAAUCAGAUUUCUUUCCUAAACCCAUCCCCAUUCCCUUAACAAAGAUUAACAGAGAAAUGUAUAUGGUGACAUAUCAAUCUUUGACUAUCAUGUAUCCUUAGUACAGCUCUUCUUACCAAAGUUUAUUUAACAUACAUCAUGGUGGCAUGGUUAUAUGAUGCAAAGCUUAAGAAAUCAAGCUACACAGUCUUCUGGAGCAUAGAAAGAGAAAACAAGAUAAAAGGCUGAUGACCAAGUAAAAUAAGUAGAUGAAGGAACCAAAGACUUAGUAUAUUUGUUAUGCGUGUGGUUUGCCUUCUCUGGGAUAAUGAGGGAGGAGUGCUUGGUGCAGAUUCCCAUUUGGACAAGCUGGGCCAGGACAGGAGUAGUUGACCACUUCUGGACAUGCUGCUCCUUCUGUCUUGUGAACAGAACACUGGGAAGGCCUGAAUGAAAGGUGAUUCUCUUAUGCAGAGGUGAAACUUCAAUCUAACCCAAUGAGAGAUUAUACCAGUAAUUCAGGGUUACUUUUUGUUUUCAUUCUUUUUUUUUUUUGGCUUAUUGGCAUGAAGCAUGCUAUCCAAAUUGUAUGACAACAAAUACUAUAAUAGUUAUACAAUCUAUCUGUCCACUUCAUGAGAGAAUUUGAGGAAAAAACUUCUAUCUAUCAUCUACCUACCUACAUAUGUAUUCAUCUAUCAAUUCAUCUAUUUAUAUUCAUAUUCAUGCAUGUAUGUAUGUAUAUAAAUCUUUAUAUACACAUGUGUUUGCAUGGAUACAAUAGGUCUAUCUUUCACCUAGACUUUUGGCUUUUGUCAAGAUAUGUGGUGAAUAAUAAUUGUGUUAUUUUUGGAGUUCUCUGAAACUGGAAAAUUGGGCAUUUUCUUGUGGUCAUUGUUCGUAUUUUAAAAGAAGUAGACUGCUUUUACACAUUUCUAGUGGGACACAAAACAGUUGGUUAUUCUAGUUAUUAAUUCAACUGGGUUCAGACACUACUUUUAGAACUCUCUCCUUCCCAUUGGGCUUUCAAUUAUAGGGUUUAUCUGGAGUUCCCUAAGGUAAAGCAUUAAAUCUGCUGCUCUGUAAAACAAAACAAAAAGCAACCAUCCAACCAUCUAACCAAGCGAUUCCCACCUCCACCCCAGUGUCCAUACAUGAUUCUGGUCUCAGAGAGUAUGGCUCAAGGGUUGGCAUGGUUAUAUGAUGCAAAGCUUAAUAUAACUCUGUUCUGCCUCUGUGAAUGGGUAUGAACAGCUGUUGAAUAGAUGCUGAAAUCAGUAAACAUGUUGUAUCUCAAAAAUGCAGUUCUCUUCAACAGAGCAGGUCCAGAUUUACCCUGUUACAGCUGUGUUAUGGACGGAGAGAGUCACAGUAAUGAUGAUGACUGUGGUAAAAAAAAAAUAUAUCUACUUAAAUUCUGAAAUCUCACUCCUGUUCACCAGGGCUUCACAGCUAAAUGGCAAGCUCCAGUACAUGUUUUGAAAUACUGAAAACAAUGUAGUGUUUAUUUGUAUUUAUGUUUUAAGCUUGAGAAAAUACAUGGUCAACGCCAACUUAAGUGUUGUUAUUGAAGUUUAACCACAAGUAUAUAAUAUGCAUGUGUUAAGUGCUCACUCUAUCUAGGUGAUUAAAAACUAGUGACCUAAGAUGGAAAGGAUAUCCCGAGCAAUGGGAAGAUGCAGAGUAGCAUAAGCUUUUCAUUUAUUGUGAUAGCAAUUGAUGCAUUUACUAUUGUAAAAAUGUCCUUCCCCCGUAGAUGGUUAGAAUUUUGAAUAUUAUCUGGGAAACUUCUAGAAGCAUAAUCUGUCAAGUCAACUUGUAUACAGUAUUUGUAAGUACUCUCUAUGAGAAUAUUCAGAAGAUGUUUUAGCAUUUGACUCAUUAGUUCUAGCCUAGUUGUGUGUCGAACUGAAGGACACAUUUGAGUACUGCGCUGGGGAAAAAAAAAUGGAUUAGUUCUUUUCAUCUCUGUCAGUUUCUCUUUACCCACACAUUUAAAAUAAUUUCUCUCUCUUUUCUUUUUAAGCCACAGCUGUGUUAUUCAAGUACUUUCUUUUUUCAAUAAAGAAAAUAUACUGCAU